This 253-nucleotide ribosomal RNA is filed under the name uncultured bacterium. RNAcentral's name for it is "partial 16S ribosomal RNA". It matches the Rfam family "Bacterial small subunit ribosomal RNA", at positions 524 to 776 of the family's 1533-position model. The record is from RNAcentral.
UACGAAGGGGACUAGCGUUGUUCGGAAUUACUGGGCGUAAAGCGCACGUAGGCGGAUUUGUUAGUCAGGGGUGAAAUCCCGGGGCUCAACCUCGGAACUGCCUUUGAUACUGCAAGUCUCGAGUCCGAUAGAGGUGGGUGGAAUUCCUAGUGUAGAGGUGAAAUUCGUAGAUAUUGGGAAGAACACCGGUGGCGAAGGCGGCGACCUGGUCCGAUACUGACGCUGAGGUGCGAAAGCGUGGGGAGCAAACAGG